Molecule: long non-coding RNA, 2612 nt
Organism: Anopheles coluzzii
Lineage: Eukaryota; Metazoa; Arthropoda; Insecta; Diptera; Culicidae
Exons: 2
Source: RefSeq, a predicted model, not a curated record
UUUGGAUCAAGGUCUAUUGAGGAUAGAGGUCGAAGCAUAGCUUGUUUCUGUUCCGACAUUUUGAAGCUGCGUUUGACACUUCGAUUAGAAAGUGUUUACAAACAACUCACGCAGCAAUCUACAGCAUCGAGUAGAACAUAAUCGAUACCUUUACUGCAAAAGAACAAGGAAACAAGAGAUAUGUAUCAUAAUUUUAAACUGCGUUCAAUACGGAAACAAUAUUUGUCAACAACGUUCUUUCAUACAGGUGCUGAAAACAACUUUAUACAGCAUUCUUCCCACAGGAAUUUGCGUCUCACAACUUGCCUUCCAGUGAGUUUGGUGAAGGUUUUCGGUAUAUAUGCGAAGAAAUAAGAAAUGCUUGCAAUGUUUAAUGAGGUGAUAUUCUUUUGAAUGAAGCAUGUUCAAACCAGCUUUUUUGUUGUACAAUCCAACGAUCCGGCUGCUGUUCUUAUCAAAUAAUGCUUCAAAUAUCGCAGCGUUUGUUUUACGGUAGCUGAACAACACUUUUAAACUAGCUUAUAGAUUGCAAGCACCAACUCGCAGUGUAUAACUGGAACCAACCACAGAACCUUUCUCGCAUAAAGAUCGUCGUCUAAACAUGCUCAACAAUGGAAUACGGUGAUAGUAUAUGAAGCGCGGCGUGCAAACAACACACAACUCCCAGCCAAUCGCUAGCGAUUUCUUAUUUUCAUUGUGUUUUCUGAAUGUUUGUGAUGGUGAUCACUCAAUGCUUAAUUCCAGGUUUUUGUGGAGCACCUGGACAGGAACGUGCACAACGUGCCCUGAAGAUGCAGCUAGUCGGCUUGAGGAAGGAUUAUAUUUGGGGCCCGCGAAUGGGGAGGAAUAUAUUUGUAUAUUCCGUACCCAACGAAGCGAUGGUACGGUGCAAAGUGUAGUGUCCAGGCCAACAGCUGUUCCGGCAGUCUGAGAGUUCGGAGUUUGACGAGUAGUAAGGAAUGUGGAACAGUGGCGGAUUAAGGAUCGGGGGCUCUAAGCGGUAAGACUAGUUGAGGCCCCCUAUAAAUGGUAAAUGGUGGUAAUGGUGUAGGGGAUAAUCAUUGGCUCAAUCACAGGUUCUAAAAUUUUUGCUGGCCACGAGAAGGGGGGGGGGGGGGUGCAAAUGAAGCCUCGGGGGCCCUUGCCGCUAUUACUCUGUCCAAGGCAUAAUAUAGACUAGAGAACUACGGGGCCCCUAAAUCGGCGGGGACCCAGGCGACCGCCUAGUCCGCCUACCGUUAGAUCCGCCACUGAUGUGGAACACUAUCGAAAGCAGCCUUGGCCGAUUUGAAGCAUCGAUAGUGUCAGCCGAGUGAUUCGUGCGUUGUGAUCGCUGCCUUCUGAUUUCCGGCCAGCAUCUGCAACUGUACGAUGGCAAACCUUACCUGUAGCAGCUCGUUUGUACGUCCGGCCAACAGCUAAACCGCAUAGACCUGAACAGUAGCAUUAAUAGUGCUAUGGCAAAAGUUAAAGGCGAUUCGGACUGAAGAAGUUUGAGACUGCACAAGGUACCAUGAGCAAAUCGACAUUUGAGAAGGUGCGUAGGAGCGAUGUAAUGCCGUUCGGUACAAAAUCGCUACAAAACUAUACAAAUCAUGAGCGGAAAGAUUCUUUCUCGUCCAUUUUAGCAGACGUAGUUACGGAAGCUAGAGGUUUUAGGUUUGGAGUUUCAAAGUGUGCGAAGGUUCCUUCUAGAUCUACGACCAAGGCAUCGCAAGCCGACGCACUUUAUAGACUAUUAUACUUCAUUUCAACUAUUUUACUGCAGAAAAGACUCCAUAAAUUGUAGUGGCUAUCAAGAAAUUCACAUAAAAAAUGUAUUUCAUACUAAUAUCUUUCUGUACAAAGUUCUGUAUUAUUAGUUAUAUUUACAGGAUACAAGUUUAAUAGUCGAUAUACUGUAUAUCAUGAAUAAACUAUGUACAUAAACAGAUUCAUAGCUCUACUUGACAAAGCGCAAUCAUUAACUGAAAUUCCUUAAAUGCAAAGCGCAUUCCUUGAAUUCAUUAGCUUUCCUAACUUACUAAUCUUAACAACUAAAAGGAUGAGUAUUUCAUACUAUAGCUACAUAUUACAAGAUAACUUGCCUUAGCUCUAAUCACUAUUACCACUAUUACACUAUUACUGUAAUAUUCAAAGGAACACAAUCAAUAAACAGUAAUCACUAAGAUUUCAUUUUAACACAUAAAAGAAAAAAAUCGUAUCAGUACGUCCCAAAAUUAUAAUUAUGUACAUUAAUUUUACAUAAAUAACAUACGUAUCGAUGUGCUACGUUGAUCAUGAUGUUAAGUAAUGUAGCGAUUAUUGAAUGAUUGAUGAUACAUUUUUAACGAAAUGAAAGUAAGCAAAGAUGACCCGGCAUGAAGAAGAACAGAAUCGCUAUUUUACAAGCGGGUGCAAUUAAAAGACUGAAACAACUAAGUCAAUUGUAACACAUUUAAAUUGAAACUUAUGAUUGGAUUCAGGAUCAAUUACAAAUAUAAUUGAAUUGAAUUGGUAAUCUUUUUAAUGAAGAAUGGGCCAUGCAAUCUAAAAAUGAAAAAUAUUAUUAAAUUAACAAAUAAAUAAGUUAAUAAAUAGGUGAAUAAAUAACUACAUGUGUAAUACCUUAA